UCAGGCCUAACACAUGCAAGUCGAACGAGGGUAGCAAUACCCUAGUGGCGGACGGGUGAGGAAUACGUAGGAAUCUGCCCUUAAGUGGGGGAUAACCCGGGGAAACCCGGAUUAAUACCGCAUGACCUCGAAAGAGCAAAGCAGGGGAUCGCAAGACCUUGCGCCUUUGGAGGAGCCUACGUCGGAUUGCUAGUUGGUGAGGUAACGGCUCACCAAGGCAACGAUCCGUAACUGGUCUGAGAGGAUGAUCAGUCACACCGGAACUGAGACACGGUCCGGACUCCUACGGGAGGCAGCAGUGGGGAAUAUUGGACAAUGGGCGAAAGCCUGAUUCAAAGAUGCCGCGUGUGUGAAGAAGGCCUUCGGGUUGUCUUUAGGAGUAAGUUGGGAAGAAAAAGCUUCGACUAUAUUCGGAGCCUGAC
RNAcentral lists this ribosomal RNA (422 nucleotides) under uncultured bacterium. RNAcentral's name for it is "bacterial SSU rRNA". It matches the Rfam family "Bacterial small subunit ribosomal RNA", at positions 42 to 473 of the family's 1533-position model. The record is from RNAcentral.